AGCAGCCGCGGUAAUUCCAGCUCCAAUAGCGUAUAUUAAAGUUGUUGCAGUUAAAAAGCUCGUAGUUGAAUUUCGGAAUCAGUACGCCGGUCAUGCUUCGGCAUGUACUAGUGUCACUGAUUCCUUCCUUCUGACGAACCGUCAUGCCAUUAAUUUAGUGUGACGGGGAAUCAGGACUGUUACUUUGAAAAAUUGAGUGUUUAAAGCAGGCUCGCGCUUGAAUACAUUAGCAUGGAAUAAUGAAAUAGGACGUUGAUCUUAUUUUGUUGGUUUCUUAGAUCGACGUAAUGAUUAAUAGGGAUAGUUGGGGGCAUUAGUAUUCAAUUGUUAGAGGUGAAAUUCUUGGAUUUAUUGAAGACUAACUGCUGCGAAAGCAUUUGCCAAGGAUGUUUUCAUUAAU
Molecule: ribosomal RNA, 400 nt
Filed under: uncultured Glomus
Lineage: Eukaryota; Fungi; Glomeromycota; Glomeromycetes; Glomerales; Glomeraceae
Description: SSU rRNA
Rfam family: Eukaryotic small subunit ribosomal RNA
Source: RNAcentral